Molecule: unclassified non-coding RNA, 345 nt
Filed under: soil metagenome
Description: partial contains 5.8S ribosomal RNA, internal transcribed spacer 2, and large subunit ribosomal RNA
Rfam family: 5.8S ribosomal RNA (bases 1-120)
Source: RNAcentral
GAUGAAGAACGUAGCAAAAUGCGAUACGUAAUGUGAAUUGCAGAAUUCAGUGAAUCAUCGAGUCUUUGAACGCACAUUGCGCCCUCUGGUAUUCCGGAGGGCAUGCCUGUCCGAGCGUCAUUGCUGCCCUCAAGCACGGCUUGUGUGUUGGGCCCCGCCCCCCGAUCCCGGGGGGCGGGCCCGAAAGGCAGCGGCGGCACCGCGUCCGGUCCUCGAGCGUAUGGGGCUUUGUCACCCGCUCUGUAGGCCCGGCCGGCGCUUGCCGAUCAACCAAACUUUUUUCCAGGUUGACCUCGGAUCAGGUAGGGAUACCCGCUGAACUUAAGCAUAUCAAUAAGCGGAGGA